UGCGGGGUAGAGCAGUUGGUAGCACGCCUGGCUCAUAACCAGGACAGUCGCAGGUUCGAGUCCUGCCCCCGCUA
RNAcentral lists this transfer RNA (74 nucleotides) under Bacteroidales bacterium. Its description in RNAcentral is "tRNA-Met". It matches the Rfam family "tRNA". From Rfam's summary of the family: Transfer RNA (tRNA) molecules are approximately 80 nucleotides in length. Their secondary structure includes four short double-helical elements and three loops (D, anti-codon, and T loops). The record is from RNAcentral. Lineage: Bacteria; Pseudomonadati; Bacteroidota; Bacteroidia; Bacteroidales.